AUGACCCCUGGGGGUUUGACCCUACCUACACCUGGAGUCAAUCCCCUAACAGUCCUGCCACCACGCCGCAGAACAUGAGCUCGUAUGGAAACUUGGAUUUCUGGCGUAACGAUGGUGAAUGGUAUCAAAAUAUUACUAUCGCAUAAUAUAGUAUAUACACUAAAGGUUGGCCAAAAUAUGGACACCUAA
Molecule: ribosomal RNA, 189 nt
Filed under: Triticum aestivum (bread wheat)
Lineage: Eukaryota; Viridiplantae; Streptophyta; Magnoliopsida; Poales; Poaceae
Description: partial small subunit ribosomal RNA
Source: RNAcentral